Molecule: ribosomal RNA, 253 nt
Filed under: uncultured bacterium
Lineage: Bacteria
Description: partial 16S ribosomal RNA
Rfam family: Bacterial small subunit ribosomal RNA
Source: RNAcentral
UACGUAGGGCGCGAGCGUUGUCCGGAUUUAUUGGGCGUAAAGAGCUCGUAGGCGGCUUGUCGCGUCGUCCGUGAAAACUUGGGGCUCAACCCCAAGCUUGCGGUCGAUACGGGCAGGCUAGAGUUCGGUAGGGGAGACUGGAAUUCCUGGUGUAGCGGUGAAAUGCGCAGAUAUCAGGAGGAACACCGGUGGCGAAGGCGGCAUCCUGGACCAACACUGACACUGAGGAGCGAAAGCCAGGGGAGCAAACGGG